Long non-coding RNA from Pogoniulus pusillus (Red-fronted tinkerbird), 398 nucleotides. RefSeq lists it as uncharacterized. NCBI's taxonomy places the organism in Eukaryota, Metazoa, Chordata, Aves, Piciformes, Lybiidae. The transcript is spliced from 3 exons. The record is from RefSeq and is a predicted model, not a curated record.
CUUUGUGUCUUUCAUAAUACAGCACAGAGGAGCUCAGAGGAUGGUGUAAUUCUUCUGCUUUUCAAGAUAAUUUUAUCCAUUUGAGUACCUGGACUUGAAACCAGCCCAGUUCAAACCAAAAGAGCUAUAAAGAUCUCUUGCUCUAAUUGUUGAAACAGGAUACCAAGCCCAUCUCUGCUUGUAACUGAUGGCAUGAUCUUGGUUGAAGCAGUCUCGGUGUGGAUGAAGUUUUGUUUCUGAGAGAGCUAUUUCACAUCUUUUCCUCAUCUCUGGAAGUGACUUUGAAACUGAAAUGUCAGAGCUUGGUUUUCAACUGGCAGUGCCUGGCUUCUCCAACAAGUGCUUCCAAUACCUUCACAAACUGCUGUAUUGUCUGAUGGACUGCUGCAUCUUCAAAG